This is a small nucleolar RNA of Arvicanthis niloticus (Nile rat), 78 nucleotides long. RefSeq annotates it as small nucleolar RNA SNORD19. NCBI's taxonomy places the organism in Eukaryota, Metazoa, Chordata, Mammalia, Rodentia, Muridae. The record is from RefSeq and is a predicted model, not a curated record.
GAGGUAUGAGGAAAAUAUCAUAACAGUCUGAUUUAUCACUGAAGACUGAUAAGAUCCAACUCUGACCUCAACAAAACC